This 741-nucleotide long non-coding RNA is filed under the name Venturia canescens. RNAcentral describes it as "uncharacterized LOC122407681". The record is from RNAcentral. Lineage: Eukaryota; Metazoa; Arthropoda; Insecta; Hymenoptera; Ichneumonidae.
GUGUGUAUCGUGUGUUGGAUGAAUUCGUAGUGAUCAGUUAAUUGUGUCGUUCUAUUCUAUCGUGAGCUGUUUCUAAACAUAGAUUUAUUUGAAUGAAACGACAGAUGAAAAAAAAAAUUAUAUUGAAAAUGAAGAAAAUGGCAUCGACGGUCAUCUCAUCUUCUACGUCAAAAAUGUUCUCAACAGAUCUAAAAUCUGAAUCAGACUCCAUAUGAAAAAACAAUUUGUGAAAUUCAUGUACACUUCGAAAAGUGCAUUUCCACUCGUCUGAGGAAAAAUCAAUUGCGAUAUUUUGGUGAGAAAAGAAGUGUUCGUACGUUCGAAAAAUCAAUGCGGCUGAUCGAUCGACAUCGAAAAUACACAAUUUCGUUCCCAGAUUCAUACGCACUCAACGUUAAAAAGGCUGACAUCUACAAUGAUCGGCAAGUAUUGGUGUUUCCGUGCUCAGAUACCUUAUUCAGUUUAUUUAUCAAGAAGGGCAUAGAAAAUUGCUUAAUUUUGAUCAUCUCGCACACCUGGUUAUCGAUGGCUUGGACUUCAUUCUAGAAUCUAAGGUACCCAUUGAAGAAAGGCCGGAUCUUUUGAUGCGUAUACUAAUCACAUCAAGCCUGACAGUUCGCUGUUUUUCAUUCAAGGAAAUGUACAAGAUUUUGUACAAUUGCGGCAGAAUGACAUAAUCGUGCAAGUUUCUCGAUCCAAUAACCGCAGACUGAUUAUUGAAUUCAGACAAUUCGGAUCGAU